This 382-nucleotide ribosomal RNA is filed under the name uncultured Gammaproteobacteria bacterium. RNAcentral describes it as "bacterial SSU rRNA". It matches the Rfam family "Bacterial small subunit ribosomal RNA", at positions 118 to 496 of the family's 1533-position model. Lineage: Bacteria; Pseudomonadati; Pseudomonadota; Gammaproteobacteria. The record is from RNAcentral.
UAGGAAUCUGCCCAGUAGAGGGGGAUAGCCCGGGGAAACUCGGAUUAAUACCGCAUACGCCCCACGGGGGAAAGCAGGGGAUCUUCGGACCUUGCGCUAUUGGAUGAGCCUGCGUGAGAUUAGCUAGUUGGUGGGGUAAAGGCCUACCAAGGCGACGAUCUCUAGCUGGUCUGAGAGGAUGAUCAGCCACACUGGGACUGAGACACGGCCCAGACUCCUACGGGAGGCAGCAGUGGGGAAUAUUGGACAAUGGGGGCAACCCUGAUCCAGCCAUGCCGCGUGUGUGAAGAAGGCCUUAGGGUUGUAAAGCACUUUCAGUAGGGAGGAAGGCCCAGUAGUUAAUACCUGCAGGGAUUGACGUUACCUACAGAAGCAGCACCGG